This 492-nucleotide ribosomal RNA is filed under the name uncultured bacterium. RNAcentral describes it as "partial 16S ribosomal RNA". It matches the Rfam family "Bacterial small subunit ribosomal RNA", at positions 29 to 507 of the family's 1533-position model. The record is from RNAcentral.
AGUGAACGCUGGCGGUAGGCCUAACACAUGCAAGUCGAACGGCAGCACAGUAAGAGCUUGCUCUUACGGGUGGCGAGUGGCGGACGGGUGAGGAAUACAUCGGAAUCUACUUUUUCGUGGGGGAUAACGUAGGGAAACUUACGCUAAUACCGCAUACGACCUACGGGUGAAAGUAGGGGAUCUUCGGACCUUGCGCGAUUGAAUGAGCCGAUGUCGGAUUAGCUAGUUGGCGGGGUAAAGGCCCACCAAGGCGACGAUCCGUAGCUGGUCUGAGAGGAUGAUCAGCCACACUGGAACUGAGACACGGUCCAGACUCCUACGGGAGGCAGCAGUGGGGAAUAUUGGACAAUGGGCGCAAGCCUGAUCCAGCCAUACCGCGUGGGUGAAGAUGGCCUUCGGGUUGUAAAGCCCUUUUGUUGGGAAAGAAAAGCAGCAGGUUAAUACCCCGCUGUUCUGACGGUACCCAAAGAAUAAGCACCGGCUAACUUCGUG